GCAGGAUCACGUUCAUCACGCGGCGAAAUGAGAAAAGGCAUCCGUCAACCGCCGCUUAAUUAUUUGCGACCGGUGAGAGGGGUUGCUCUACAGCACAGUCGUUUUCCGAUAAGAUUCAGCGGCCGCACGAGGACUACAGAAAAUGAAAGAGGGGCAUAGUGAUGAUGCGGUCGGUGGCGAGCUCUAGAGGGCUAGGGUUCCAAUGCUUCAGCCUAUUUGUUCUUCGGCAGUAGCGGCGAAGCCCAGCAUCAAAUUCUAGCCCAAUUCAAGUUGAAAAGCUUCAUCAAAUCCGAGCCCUCUGAUUAAAAUCAAAAGGGUAGAAAAUCGAGUGUUGAGCAGCUCAGAAACACCCCAUUUCUAAAUCAACACAAAAGAGAAAACAAAUCUGAGCCACAGAAUCAUGAUCAAACGUUCAGAAAAUCGACAUACCGUUAUGUGCUCACAACAGGUAUCCAGCCGAGUAGUGCCCUCCUUGCAGCCCAUAUACUUGAGUUGUGCAGGCGCUGACCACACCGGGCCAUAUCGUCCGUGUAUUCAUAACUGAAAUUUAUUGAGUUCACUGUAUUCAGGGUUAUAUUUCUCUCUGUGAAGAUGGAUUAAUUCCCUGCUCAUCACUUGAAUACUCUUUGUUUAUGGCAUUUCUUAAAGUUGUAUCUCCAGGGCAUAAUGAUGAGCCUUUUUGUACUUGUGCAUGUAGUAUAUUUUGAUGUAUGUCACAUGAAUAGUUAGCCUUUUGUAGUUUUCUUUCUUUUUUACUCUUUCGUGAGUUGUGAGAGAUGUUAUUGUAAUAUUUUGGACCUGAUAUAGAUGUUCUUAUAUAUCAGUUCUUAUAUUGUAACACAGAUUUGAUUAAUAUUUAGUUUUGGAACGAUCUUGUUCAUCUUGUUUAAUCCUUAUGUGCUUUGCCCUUACUUAUUACGAU
Molecule: long non-coding RNA, 922 nt
Organism: Phragmites australis (common reed)
Lineage: Eukaryota; Viridiplantae; Streptophyta; Magnoliopsida; Poales; Poaceae
Exons: 3
Source: RefSeq, a predicted model, not a curated record